RNAcentral lists this microRNA precursor (103 nucleotides) under Marmota monax (woodchuck). Lineage: Eukaryota; Metazoa; Chordata; Mammalia; Rodentia; Sciuridae. The record is from RNAcentral.
AGUGGGAUAGCUGGGACAAAUGGUGUUCCUUUCCAGGUUUUCUAAGGAAUCUCUGUAUUGCUUUCCAGAGUGGUUGCACCAAUUUGCAAAUCCCACCAGCAAU